CGCGGCCUAUCAGCUUGUUGGUGAGGUAAUGGCUCACCAAGGCUUCGACGGGUAGCCGGCCUGAGAGGGCGACCGGCCACACUGGGACUGAGAUACGGCCCAGACUCCUACGGGAGGCAGCAGUGGGGAAUAUUGCACAAUGGGCGCAAGCCUGAUGCAGCAACGCCGCGUGCGGGAUGACGGCCUUCGGGUUGUAAACCGCUUUCAGUAGGGACGAAGCUAACGUGACGGUACCUACAGAAGAAGGACCGGCUAACUACGUGCCAGCAGCCGCGGUGAUACGUAGGGUCCGAGCGUUGUCCGGAAUUAUUGGGCGUAAAGGGCUUGUAGGCGGUCCGUCGCGUCAGGAGUGAAAACUCGGGGCUUAACCCCGAGCCUGCUUUUGAUACGGGCGGACUAGAGGGAUGCAGGGGAGAACGGAAUUCCUGGUGGAGCGGUGGAAUGCGCAGAUAUCAGGAGGAACACCGGUGGCGAAGGCGGUUCUCUGGGCAUCACCUGACGCUGAGAAGCGAAAGCGUGGGGAGCAAACAGGCUUAGAUACCCCGGUAGUCCACGCCGUAAACGGUGGGCACUAGGUGUGGGGGACAUUCCACGUUCUCCGUGCCGAAGCUAACGCAUUAAGUGCCCCGCCUGGGGAGUACGG
RNAcentral lists this ribosomal RNA (643 nucleotides) under uncultured bacterium. Its description in RNAcentral is "bacterial SSU rRNA". It matches the Rfam family "Bacterial small subunit ribosomal RNA", at positions 232 to 885 of the family's 1533-position model. The record is from RNAcentral.